This is a long non-coding RNA of Siniperca chuatsi (mandarin fish), 3022 nucleotides long. RefSeq lists it as uncharacterized. The record is from RefSeq and is a predicted model, not a curated record. The transcript has 2 exons. Lineage: Eukaryota; Metazoa; Chordata; Actinopteri; Centrarchiformes; Sinipercidae.
UUCACAUGUUGGAUUUAUGGAAAAACAAUAGUCAAAGUGAUUAGCAAGAGGUCUUUAUUAGUUGUAACACAUACUGGAAAUAUUACAAUAUAAGAGAGGCGCAUAUACUGUCACUUCCUUCUCCUUUUCACUGCAAUCAAUCACCACAUUUGAAUCCAGUCCAAUCCCGACCCUUCAUAGACCAGAUUAGAGGUCUCAGAGGUCAGGUUGGCUGUUCAGAGGGACUGCUUGCUGGGGUUCAUGAAACCAAGUGAGGGUCAUGGGAGUCAGAGACAGCUCCUGGAGGAUACAGCCUUUCAUCAAAGAUCCCAAGAGAGAAGGCCUGCUGUUCAGAUCAGUUAUAUCCACAUACAACAGGUUCCUUAAUAGUCAUUCACUACCUAAAAGCUGAUUUGGAUAAGGAUGCAACAUUUAGUGAGACAUUUCCAUACCAAACAUAUUCAGUUCAUCACUAUGGGUCUAUCAAAAUGCUAUAACUGUCACUAGUUUUUGCCCUCUGAACCAUUCACCUUGUGUUCACACAGAAGUCCAUCAUUUGUUGGAGCAGAGCAACCAAUAAACUCAACAAUGUGUUAGCAUCAACAAGUUUGUCAGUUGGGAAAAGUUGGCCUGGACUGACCCCAUCUACAUUUCAUGCCUAUCAGUGUUAUCUUAUUUCAUGAACAGUUCCUUAUCAGUUAGGUUAAGCUAAGAAGUUAUCUGUCUGGCAAAUGCAACAUCUUUGUUUCUACAAAUUUUAUUUGAAGUACUGCAGGAUAACCACUAGUAAUAAUUGUAAUAAUGUAAUAAGUGCUGGUCACCUUGGUGGAUGAGAGAUUACUUAUUACCUAUUGGGUAAGCCAGCAGGCUGUUAACUCAUAAAAAUAUUGUAUUGAAAGGCAAAGCCAGAUAACAUGAUUUGCAUGUUUGUUGCAUUGAAGCUGUAGUACAUUACAGAAAUACAACUGAUUUGCACACAGACCAAAUUGCUCUGUGUUAAUCAUUUUUAACAGCACAUUUUGAAUUCCUACAAAUUGAUAGUGGUGAGGUUAUAAACAUUCAUAAUUAUAUUUCAUUAGUCAGGGCAUAAGGGUAUUGCAGGAGUAUUGAUAAUUCUUUACACUACAAUUCUGUGAAUUUGAAAUGGUCAUUUCACGAUGUUCUGUCAAAACCAUCUGUUUCUGUCUAUAGAGGUCAUUCAGAGUGAUCAUUCAGUAAUAUUACUCUUUAAUUAUAAUACAUUGUGAAAACACUUUUUUAAUUACAUACUGUGUUUGCAGCUGUCUGCACCACAAUAAUAACAAUAAUUUGAAGUUUUAAGAGGCUUUCCAUCAUUUGAGUGCGUUUUGGUUUGGUUUGGCUCAGUUGACAAGAAUAACAAUACAAACAGUUGCUGCUUUGCUUCAAGGCAAAAACUGUUUGAAAACAACAUAAAAAACCCUGACCAUAGCAUGCAUCCUCUGACACAUAGGUAAACACAUUUUUUUUUGACAAAAUAAACAAAUAAAAAAAGACAAAAUUGAAAAAACAAAUUGCCUCCAAAUGGUCAUAUUACCAGUAAUAACUAGUCAACAUUGGCAGUGCUGGGUCAGGAAUAAUUUUACCAUGACAGUUUAACAGGUUUGUGUGCAUAUACAGUCUACCCAGUGAAACCGCAGUGACGUUCUGCUCAUAUAAAAAGGUAGAAGCAUUUAAAGUAGAAGACCUCCUUCACACGUAAACAUGCAUUAGUGUACAAUUAUGAAAUAGCCUUUGGUAGCAUAAACGUGACAAAAGCUACAAGGCAGCUGACUUGGUAUUUGCUCAUCACAGCUACAGAGCCAGCCUUUCAUGCUAUGCUAGGCUAUAUUAUUUUACAGUUGUUUUUGUGGAAUGUGAUGUCUAAGACAUUCUAUUUCAAUCUAGACAUGAUAAUAAUUGAUAAUAGUUAAUAAUUUAACUGAUUGAAAACAUUAACUGAAAAUGUAGGAGGUGAGGGACAUGCAACUGCACGGCUAUGUUCAGACCAACAUCAGUGCUGCUUGAAGAAAAUGCAGCACCUCUAUUUAUUUCGAUUAAUGAAAUAAAAUAGAGCGCUCUGACAAAAAAAACAACAACGCAGGGUUGUCCAGUUGAACCUGGCUUAUCUGUUGCCACAAGACAAUGCAAUGACAUCCAGCAAUGAACUGCAGUGGCCAAUCAACUACGUACAUUCCUAAUAGAAUAAAUACCCAAUUCACAUGACAAAGUAAUCUGUUUACCGGCUGAUCGUUGAGACAGAGGAUGAAAUUAUUGUCGCUGUGAUAACUUGUUGUGAAAUUCUUUCUCAUAGUUUUAUAAACUGCUGUGCAGUGUUUCGGUAUCUGAUAAGUCUUCAAAUUAAAUUAUCUAUUGUUCAAACUGGACUUUCUUGAUAGUAUUCGAUCGUCUUACCUCUUCCUUAAACAACAUGCCUACACCAACGCAGACACUUGCGUUUUUAACGCAGAGCUGUUUUUGGUGUGAAUACCCAGUAACAGUAGAAACUGUACAGUGUUGUAUCGGAUUGUGCUCUUUUCUGUCUGAACAGAUUUGAGUUACAGGAGUAAUGUGAAUUCCGUAUUUAUUCUAUUAGGAAUAUGCAUCUACGUAGUCAGAAACUUUCAAAACUUUAUUAAAGCAAAACACAGAUGUAUUUUAGAAAUUACUCAUGAUCAGUUAUUGGUCACUAUAUAGCUGAAUCUUCAUUAGAGAAAUUGCUUAAAAUUGGUAUCCCUACUACAAUCCAAAAAAAGCUGAAUGAAACAUGGCAACAUAAUGAGACAUAACUUAGAACAUCUUACUCAUACUGUACAAAGUGACAGCACACUUUAAUUACCAAAUAGGAAGAUCUAAGAUCUUAAAUAGAAAGAGCUAAGAGCUCUGAUACGUUAGGGAGAGUGUCCAUUGCUUGAAUUGACCAAUGGGAUUUGAAAAAGUGCAAUAAGGAAGAAAAAGGUGCAUUUGGGAUAUUAGGGCAAAAUGGCACAGAACAUAAACAUGCUGCAAAGACUUAAUGUAUUAUUCUCACUGUAUAAAAGUUAAA